CAAAAUUACCAAGUUCUCAUUAAUUAAAUUUCAUAACAAAAAUAUUAACAUAUUCUGCUUGCUGCGCAGAUUCUGAAAAAAGAGUUAGUCAGUCGCUUCAGGAAGAAGCGAAAGCCAAUAAGGUUGAAGUAAAGUUACAAUGAUACAUAUACACUGAGAUGAAGAAGGGGAAGUUUUCCUAAGCUAUAUAACUAAUAAGACCCAUCUCAAAUUGCGUAGAGCUUCUUAUACUCGUUCUCCAAAAUUUCUGAUUCUGCCAUGAUUGACAUCGAUCCUGAUAGAGACCUACUGAUCGAUGACCUCCUAAUGCUACGCAAUUUGGAAGACUCAAUUCUCUGAAUGAUUACCCAGUAACACAUUGUUCCAAUAGUUGUUACCAUGAUUACUGUCCCUAUACCUGUUGUCCAAAGUGCCAACCAUCUUUCCUUGUCUCCCACAACAACAUAUGCCAGUGCAAGAAAUGCAACUGAAAUCAGCACACAAGCCAACCACAUUAGCUUGUUAAUCACUGACAUCAUUUGUUUCUUUGCCUUUCUCUCUAUAACCACAACAGAAGUUUGAACAACCACAACAGCCAAUG
RNAcentral lists this unclassified non-coding RNA (580 nucleotides) under Hevea brasiliensis (rubber tree). The record is from RNAcentral. Lineage: Eukaryota; Viridiplantae; Streptophyta; Magnoliopsida; Malpighiales; Euphorbiaceae.